AUGUCCAUUAUAUUCAGUGGAUUAAUGGUGUUGCUGAAUUUAACUAUAUCAUUUUCUGAUUUUCUGCCUGCAAGAUCUGUCUAUUUCGGAGAAAGGAAUGUUGAAGUCUUUAGCCAUAAUACUGGAUUCAUCUAUUUCCUCUUGAAAUUCUAUUCUGGUUUCCUGUGCUUCAAACUUGGUUUCUCCUUCAUCCUGGAUACUUCCAGAGCCGGGGACCACUCAUAUGAUAAUGCCAGCUCACUCAGCACCUUCUAAUUCGGUGAUGGAUCCUCGAGCAAGUUGGGCUGGAGCAAGAGAAAGCCUUGAUUAUGCCAAAGAGGUCACUGUGGCGCAGUGGCCAACAUUUUUCUGUGUGAAUUAAUAUAUCAGUGUCUGUGUUGGAGAAGAGUCUUGGGGUGAAAAUCUACAGAUCUGAGACCUGAAACCACACCAUGUGAUGAUUAUUCCCGCUUACAGGCAGCAAGUGGGAUAAGCAGGCUGUGAUAUUGCAAAAAGAAAGCUGAUAUUCUUUCUGGAAGGUAGACCACAUCAAAGACAGAGAAAAAGGUAACACCAGCAAAAAUUUCCACCCAAACCCUCUUGGUUCACAGUUUCUGCUGGCUUGAUUUCUAUGCUUCUUACAGAAAUGCAAGAAACUUGUCCCUCUGUGUCCUGUAGAAGAUGGCAGAGGAGACUUACGGCUGAACAUCAGCACAGACCCAUCAUCAGUUUCUCCUUUAAAAGAGGUCAAUACAAAGACUUGAAAACAUGGAGAAAAUCUGCCCACCUAGCGGGCAGUGACUUGGCUAUAAUGCAUGGAUAACUCUUUGCAUUAUCGAGCUAAUGGUUAGCUCUCAGCUCAGAAUGCAGCAUCAUUUUGGACACUUAAAGAUUCUCACUUAACGUCUGUGAUGAUUGG
Molecule: long non-coding RNA, 898 nt
Filed under: Callithrix jacchus (white-tufted-ear marmoset)
Lineage: Eukaryota; Metazoa; Chordata; Mammalia; Primates; Cebidae
Description: lncRNA (ENSCJAG00000083651.1)
Source: RNAcentral